This 351-nucleotide unclassified non-coding RNA is filed under the name soil metagenome. RNAcentral describes it as "partial contains 5.8S ribosomal RNA, internal transcribed spacer 2, and large subunit ribosomal RNA". The stretch from base 1 to 121 matches the Rfam family "5.8S ribosomal RNA", at positions 35 to 154 of the family's 154-position model. The record is from RNAcentral.
GAUGAAGAACGUAGCGAAAUGCGAUAAGUAAUGCGAAUUGCAGAAUUUCCGUGAGUCAUCGAAUCUUUGAACGCACAUUGCGCCCACUGGUAUUCCGGUGGGCAUGCCUGUUCGAGCGUCAUUAUCCUCCCUCAAACCUCUGUGUUUGGUGUUGGGCCGCGUUGGUGUCAAAGCCAACUGGUCUCAAAGACAAUGACGGCGUCCGUGGGACCCUCUUCGCAACGAGCAUCUUCGGAAGCACGCGUCGAGUCUAAAGGACCUUCCGGGCCGGUCUACCCUUUAUCUUUCUAAGGUUGACCUCGGAUCAGGUAGGAAUACCCGCUGAACUUAAGCAUAUCAAUAAGCGGAGGA